Molecule: ribosomal RNA, 370 nt
Filed under: Rhopalocranaus sp. MZSP 73186
Lineage: Eukaryota; Metazoa; Arthropoda; Arachnida; Opiliones; Manaosbiidae
Description: partial small subunit ribosomal RNA
Source: RNAcentral
UUAGAUACCCUGGUAUAAGAAAUGUAUAGAAAUUAGUAAGUAAUGAAAUUUAAUAAUUUUGGCGGUUAACUUUUAAUUAGAGGAGCUUGUUGAAUUAGUAAAUACUCUUUAAAUCUUAAUUUAGUUUGUUUAUUCAUCUCCGUUAUUAGAUAAUUUUGAAUAAAGUAAUUUAUUUCAAUUUCAGGUCAAGAUGUAGCAUCUAUAAGUGAAAAUUAGCUACAAUAAAGAAUUUAUGGAUUUAAUUGAGAUUAGAUUAAAGAAAUUGAAUUUAGUUGUAAUAUGAUUUAGAAAAAUAAUAUGAAUGGAUAAAGUUAAUGUACAUAUUGCCCGUCACUUCUAACUAAAUAUUAGAAUAAGUCGUAACAAAGUA